RNAcentral lists this ribosomal RNA (424 nucleotides) under Bacillota bacterium. RNAcentral's name for it is "Firmicutes bacterium partial 16S ribosomal RNA". It matches the Rfam family "Bacterial small subunit ribosomal RNA", at positions 355 to 776 of the family's 1533-position model. The record is from RNAcentral. Lineage: Bacteria; Bacillati; Bacillota.
UAAGGAAUAUUGGACAAUGGACGCAAGUCUGAUCCAGCCAUGCCGCGUGAAGGAUGAAUGCCCUCUGGGUUGUAAACUUCUUUUACAGGGGAAGAAAGUUAUCUUUUUUAGGAUAUUUGACGGUACCCUAUGAAUAAGCACCGGCUAACUCCGUGCCAGCAGCCGCGGUAAUACGGAGGGUGCAAGCGUUAUCCGGAUUCACUGGGUUUAAAGGGUGCGUAGGCGGGUAUGUAAGUCAGUGGUGAAAUACCGGAGCUUAACUUCGGAACUGCCAUUGAUACUAUAUAUCUUGAAUAUUGUGGAGGUAAGCGGAAUAUGUCAUGUAGCGGUGAAAUGCUUAGAGAUGACAUAGAACACCGAUUGCGAAGGCAGCUUGCUACGCAAAUAUUGACGCUGAGGCACGAAAGCGUGGGGAUCAAACAGG